CCAAAAGAUGAUUUCUCUAAAAAUAAAAUGUUUCAACGUGUAUGCUUUACUUACAAGAAUGUUGAGUUUGCCAUCGAACAAUGAGGAGACAGUUUGUAUUAAUGUUUCUCUCUCGGGACGUGAGGUUACAUCACAGACUGAGCCACUCACUUGAAACCCUUUCUUUUCCCAUUCACUUAAGCUUUGACUGAGCAGUGUUUCAGAUAUGUCGCAUACAUGGAUUCUAGCUCCAAAAGCAGAUAAUUCAUCUACGAUGGCAUGCCUAAGCGGGCGUUCCACAAAAAAAAUAUCACUUAAAAUCUUGACCAUUGAAGACGAUAUCAAUAGGAAGAAAAACAAACCCGAUUCCUCCCGCUCCACCGGUUACAAGAGCAGUCAUACCUUGAAGACUCCACCUUUUAUCCAUCUUUACCUUUUGCAUGUUAUUUGCAAUGACUAGAAAUGCCAUAGAUUAUAUAUAUAUAUAUAUAUAUAUAUUAUAAAAUGAAGAUCACUAAGUGUGAAUUAAUUAUAUUAAAAAGAUAAGAUAAGUCUGAAAUGAAUGAUUGAGUAUGUAUGCCGACACAAGAAAAAGGAGUUUGUAUGUGUGGUGGAAAUGCAAUGUAGUCGUAUACUAUAAGCAUAUACUAAAAUUGGAGAAAAUGCUUGAAAUAUCAUAAGUUAACUAUUAUUAUUUUUUAAAUAUAUUCAAUCAAAAAUAUUUUAUCAUUUGCAGAUAAAAUUUAGUGAUUAUUGUUUAGAGUAUAAUAUUGAGAAACUUCUUAAAAUACAAUUUUCAAAAAUACACUCAAUCAAAAAUAUUUUAAUGUUUUGGUUUCAAGUUUAAUAAUUAUUUUUAGGGUACAAGUGUCUGUUUAGGUUAAAAUAAGAGAAAUUGCUUAAACAUUUGAGUUACGAUAUACUGAUUUGUAAACUUAAAAAUGACUUGUAAAUUUUCUUUUACGACACGAUAAGAUUUCCACCAGACAUACAACCAAUAAUUCGCUACGUUUCCGUCACAAAAUCCACGUGCGAUAGCCAUUAGAGCAUGAGCAUUGGUGAACCCCUCUUUGGGGUUCACAAGUUUAUUUUAAUAUUUUUUUAUGGGUCCAUGAAUAGUUAUGAAUCUGUAAUUGUUUUUUUCUGCAUUGGUGAACUUGAAGUAUGAGUUCAUAACAAUAAAAUAAUAAUAUAUAUUUUUUUUUUAAUAUUCAAAUUAUCCAGAAAACAAGAAUAAAAUAUUUAAAAUAUUAUUAAAUUUUUGAAAACUAUUUAUUCAAUACAUUAAAAGAUUAGAUUACAUAAAUUGAGAAAUAGAAAAACAAACAAAGUUUAUUCAUCUUCAUCACCAAACUUUUGCCAAAUAUUUUCCAUUAAAUCAGCUUUCAAACGAGCAUGCUUCUCUUGAUCUCGGACUUCUCUGCGCAUGGCUAACAUAUCACCGGCAUGAAUACUUUCUCUGGUUGUCACCUUUGAACUUCUGCUUGACUCUCCUGAUUCGAACUCAGAAGUAUUUAUUUGAGCGUAUCCGUGUCGUUCGUUCUCUACAAUCAUAUUGUGCAAUAUGACACAAGUUCUCAUUAUCUUUCCUAUCUUUUCCUUGUCCCAUUGUAGAGCUGGGUUUUUAACAAUUGCAAACCUCGACUGCAAUACUCCAAAAGCCCGUUCGACAUCUUUUCUGGCGGAUUCUUGCUUUUGUGCAAAUUUCUCGGCUUUAGGACCUUGAGGAAGUGGGAUGGAUUGGAUAAAUGUUGACCAGUUUGGAUAAAUUCCGUCAGUAAGAUAGUAGGCCAUACGAUAAGUGUGGUUGUUGACCUUGAACUUAACUUUAGGUGCUCGACCAUGUAAGAUGUCAUCAAAAACAGGUGACCGAUCGAGAACAUUGAUAUCGUUGAGUGUACCUGGUAAGCCGAAAAAUGCGUGCCAUAUCCAAAGAUCUUGUGAUGCCACGGCUUCUAAGACAAUUGUCGGCUUUCCUGAACCCCGUGUGAACUGACCUUUCCAAGCCGUUGGACAGUUUUUCCACUCCCAAUGCAUACAAUUUAUUGUUUACUUGUUGAGACAAAGGAGUCCUGAUAGAAUUGGGGGCAACAGCGUUGGCUCUUAUGCCGUCUUUUGCCCAUUCACAUGCCAAAUUUCUUGCUAACUGGUUCCGAGCUCCUGUACAAGACUUGUAUUAUGAAUCAACAAAAGAAAAGAGCAUCCUUGUUGAUUAGUUAAUCUUGCCUCUAGUAGUACUUUGGUUACCUUUUGCUAGACCAUAAAGGGAUCCACAAGAAAAUGAUACAACUCCAGCAACAGAGGAAGUGAAGACAAUGCUUCCAAAUCCAGAAGCCUUUAGGAGAGGAUGUGAAAGCUGACAAAAAUGGAAAGCAGCUUCCACAUUUAUUGAGAUAUGGAAAGUGAAAUCGUCUGACCCAUAUUCUGUUGUUGGUUUUUCACGAAGUCCGCCCACAUUGUUUACCUACGUUGAACCAAAAGAUGAUUUCUCUAAAAAUAAAAUGUUUCAACGUGUAUGCUUUACUUACAAGAAUGUUGAGUUUGCCAUCGAACAAUGAGGAGACAGUUUGUAUUAAUGUUUCUCUCUCGGGACGUGAGGUUACAUCACAGACUGAGCCACUCACUUGAAACCCUUUCUUUUCCCAUUCACUUAAGCUUUGACUGAGCAGUGUUUCAGAUAUGUCGCAUACAUGGAUUCUAGCUCCAAAAGCAGAUAAUUCAUCUACGAUGGCAUGCCUAAGCGGGCGUUCCACAAAAAAAAUAUCACUUAAAAUCUUGACCAUUGAAGACGAUAUCAAUAGGAAGAAAAACAAACCCGAUUCCUCCCGCUCCACCGGUUACAAGAGCAGUCAUACCUUGAAGACUCCACCUUUUAUCCAUCUUUACCUUUUGCAUGUUAUUUGCAAUGACUAGAAAUG
This 2897-nucleotide long non-coding RNA is filed under the name Brassica napus (rape). RNAcentral describes it as "long non-coding RNA (BNAP_LNC002350)". Lineage: Eukaryota; Viridiplantae; Streptophyta; Magnoliopsida; Brassicales; Brassicaceae. The record is from RNAcentral.